This 1121-nucleotide long non-coding RNA is filed under the name Ananas comosus (pineapple). RNAcentral describes it as "long non-coding RNA (ACOM_LNC039163)". The record is from RNAcentral. Lineage: Eukaryota; Viridiplantae; Streptophyta; Magnoliopsida; Poales; Bromeliaceae.
AUAGUUAAAAACGAUAAAAAAAAUGCUUCAGCUCCUAUUUCAAUAGCAAUUCAUUUCCUGCAACAAAUAAAAGAAAUAAAAGAAAAGUAUAUACAUUAAACAAUCUACAACAAGUUAGAAUAUUUUUUGCAUAGUUGGAUACACAAACAAUUUGUCUUUUUGAAUUUUUGAUUUAAUGAAUUAUUAACAAAAUAGACAAUUGUCAAAACUAUGUACAUGCACAUUCUACUCUCAUUAAAGGAAAAAAAAAAAAAAAAACAGACAUGGAAGAGAAGUAGAAAAAGGGGGAAUAGAUCAUAGGUGCCAGCAAAUCAAUUUAGCAACAGUUCAUGUUGUUAUCAUGCCCAAAUUCAACAUAAACAAGUAUUAUGCCAAUUCGAUCAUUAUUAGAUAAUGUGUGCUUGUCUCUCUGCAUUUAAAUACAUAUGCAUACAAACAUAAAUAAAUACGGCCAUUACACAUAACCACCAAUUUACACACAUGCAUUGAUGCAAAAAUGCGCAUGGAUUAAAGGCAUGCACAGAAACAAGCAUGCUUCUACGAAUAUGUUCCCGUGGAGAACUAGAUCGUAUAUUAGAACAUAUAUUAUAUCUGUCAUGUGACAUUCAUGCAUUAAGAAAAAAUUUACAAAGCAUACAAAGAGAAUCCACAAUAAAAUUGGCAUGGCAGAACAAUUCUCCAAGCUAGUAAGACAAACACGGUUAAGGCAUACAUGAGUAGGAAAUUCCCGACCAAAAAGUAUGUGUACAAUACAGAAUGAGUAGUACAUUCAAAACUGGAAAGUAUAAAAAUAAUAUUGAAAAUCAUCAAAAAUAAAGAAGGUCAAAAUUGCAUUUUUCAAUGUCCCAUUAGAAUUGUAGCAACAAUCAUACCUUAAACCCUAUAUCUACUCAUCUCAUUGUAUGUGUCAAAGAAACAAAUAAAAUGCAAACCUUGCAAUGACUUUUAAACUUCUUGGCAAGGUUGUCUAGGAGCUAGUUGAGGCCCUCUCCCCUCUUUGUGAACCUACAAUCAAUUAAAAUAGAGAUUUAGAUAGUCGAUAAAUAAAACUUAAAUUCAAUUGACUAAUAUAAGCAAUAGUGUAUUUAUACUGAUAGGAUAGCCAUCUGAUGUUGAUGAUG